Molecule: ribosomal RNA, 433 nt
Filed under: uncultured bacterium
Lineage: Bacteria
Description: partial 16S ribosomal RNA
Rfam family: Bacterial small subunit ribosomal RNA
Source: RNAcentral
AACGAACGCUGGCGGCAUGCCUAACACAUGCAAGUCGAACGAGACCUUCGGGUCUAGUGGCGCACGGGUGCGUAACGCGUGGGAACCUGCCCUUAGGUUCGGAAUAACUCCCCGAAAGGGGUGCUAAUACCGGAUAAUGUCUUCGGACCAAAGAUUUAUCGCCUUUGGAUGGGCCCGCGUUGGAUUAGCUAGUUGAUAGGGUAAAAGCCUACCAAGGCGACGAUCCAUAGCUGGUCUGAGAGGAUGAUCAGCCACACUGGGACUGAGACACGGCCCAGACUCCUACGGGAGGCAGCAGUGGGGAAUAUUGGACAAUGGGCGAAAGCCUGAUCCAGCAAUGCCGCGUGAGUGAUGAAGGCCUUAGGGUUGUAAAGCUCUUUUACCCGGGAUGAUAAUGACAGUACCGGGAGAAUAAGCUCCGGCUAACUCCGUG